RNAcentral lists this ribosomal RNA (300 nucleotides) under Triticum aestivum (bread wheat). Its description in RNAcentral is "partial small subunit ribosomal RNA". Lineage: Eukaryota; Viridiplantae; Streptophyta; Magnoliopsida; Poales; Poaceae. The record is from RNAcentral.
AUGAGGGUAGUGGUGAGGCCGGGCGGCAACGUGGCGGGCGGCGGCGAAGCUCCGGUAGAACGGCGCUCGCCGGGCAGCCGGCUCACAGCACGCCGGAUCAAGCUGGCUGCUGCGGCUGUUGAAGUGCAGUGCGUGUGUGCAGAUGGGGAUGAGAAGAGAGAUGGGGCGAGAGAAGUUAAUGGAUGGAGAUGCAUCUCGGUGGAAAGGAUAAAGCAAGCUCUAAAGCGGUGGUGUACACGUGCCUAUACGUGCCGGCCGCUCGACCCUCAGCGUAUGCCAAACAUUGAAAAUGUAAUAUAA